Molecule: RNA transcript, 3142 nt
Organism: Coffea arabica (coffee)
Lineage: Eukaryota; Viridiplantae; Streptophyta; Magnoliopsida; Gentianales; Rubiaceae
Gene name: protein ROOT HAIR DEFECTIVE 3 homolog 2
Source: RefSeq, a predicted model, not a curated record
CAGUUCAAGAAUAAUCCUUCCUUCACCCUUCUUCCCUCUUUCUUAACUUCGUAAACGACUAAACAAAAUCUUCAUCAAAUUCCCAAAUUCUUUCCUUUAACCUCACUCCUACAACCUUUUUCAAAUCCUCAAAGAUUCCGAAAACUCCAUUUCAACUUCACAGAAGUUGGAUUGAAGAGACGGAGGAAGAUAGAGAAGCUGGAGCUGGUGGUGGUACUAUAGUAGGAGUUGUUAGUGAUGGAGGAGGAGGAGGAGAACUGUUGCUCGACGCAGCUAAUCGACGGCAACGGCGAAUUUAACUUUGUUGGAUUGGAGAAGUUCAUGAAAGCUAUGAAGUUUUCUCAGUGCGGCCUCUCCUACGCUGUUGUCGCAAUUAUGGGACCUCAGAGCAGUGGGAAGAGUACUCUGUUAAACCAUCUAUUCUAUACAAACUUGAGGGAGAUGGAUGCUUUUAAGGGAAGGAGUCAAACUACAAAGGGCAUUUGGAUAGCAAAGGCAGUGGGUAUCGAGCCCUUUACAGUAGUGAUGGAUUUGGAGGGCACUGAUGGCCGCGAGAGGGGCGAGGUGGAUGACACAACAUUUGAGAAGCAGAGUGCACUAUUUGCUUUGGCUGUUGCAGAUGUUGUUAUAAUAAACAUGUGGUGCCAUGACAUUGGUCGAGAGCAGGCUUCCAAUAAACCACUUCUAAAAAUUGUAUUUCAGGUUAUGAUGCGCCUGUUUAGUCCGCGAAAAACGACACUUCUAUUCGUUAUACGUGAUAAAACAAAGACGCCUUUCGAAUAUUUGGAACCUAUCCUGAGGGAGGACAUUCAAAAGAUAUGGGAUACAGUUUCAAAGCCUCCGGCCCACAUGGACACCCCUCUCAGUGAAUUUUUCAAUGUUGAAGUCACUGCCUUAUCCAGCUUUGAAGAGAGGGAAGAACAAUUUAAAGAGCAGGUUGCACAACUAAGGCAGCGGUUUUUCAAUUCCAUAUAUCCAGGAGGGAUUGCUGGUGACAGAAGAGCUGUUGUUCCUGCCUCUGGAUUUUCUUUUAGUACACGGCAGAUAUGGAAAGUUAUUAAAGAAAAUAAGGAUCUUGAUCUCCCAGCCCACAAGGUCAUGGUUGCUACAGUACGAUGUGAAGAGAUUGCAAAUGAGAAGUUCAGUCUAUUGGCAUCUGAUGAGGAUUGGUUGGCUUUGGAGCAAGCAGUCCAUGCUGGUCCAGUUCAGGGUUUUGGGAGGAAGCUGAGCUCAAUCUUGGAUGCAUAUCUAUCUGAAUAUGAUAUGGAGGCUGUCUACUUUGAAGAAGGUGUCAGAAAUGCCAAGCGUCUGCUGUUGAAGUCAAAAACAUUACAGUUGGUCCAUCCUGCUUACAUUACUUUGUUGGGGCAUCUGCGUUCUAGUGCACUUACGAAUUUCAAAAUUCAACUUGAGCAAAAAUUAUCUAGAGGAGAAGGGUUUGUGGCUUCUGUUAAUAGUUGUAUGCAAUCCUCAAUGCUCGAGUUUGACAAGCAUUGUUCAGAUGCUGUGAUAAAGCAUGCUGAUUGGGAUGCAUCUAAAAUUCGUGAGAAGCUUCAACGUGAUAUGCAGGCUCAUGCAUCUUCUGUUCGUGCUGAAAAGUUGUCACAACUGAUUGCUAAAUUUGAGAAACAACUUAGUGCAAGACUUGGUGAACCAGUGGAAUCCCUUUUUGACACUGGUGGCAAAGACACGUGGGCUUCAAUAAGAAGGCUUCUGAGACGUGAGACAGACGCAGCUGUAUCAGGCUUUUCCACAGCCGCUGCUGGUUUCGAACUGGAUCAGGAAGGAUUUGGCAAAAUGGUCCAGAAUUUGAGGGACUAUGCUAGAAGUGUUGUCGUUAAGGAAGCUAGAGAGCAAUCUGGGAAAGCUGUUAUUCAUAUGAAGGACAAGUUUAUAAUGGUUUUCAACCAUGAUAAUGAUUCAUUGCCAAGGGUAUGGACUGGGAAGGAGGACAUUAAAGCAAUUACACAUGAGGCACGCUCUGCGGCUGUCAGCAUUUUGUCAGUGUUGGCUGCUGUACGCUUGGAUGAGAAACCAGAUAAGAUAGAGAAUGUCCUGUCCUCUAUGCUUAUUGAUGGCUCAGUUGCCAUAUCUUCCCGGAGUAGAGGUGCUGGAAUUAUUGGAGAUCCUCUUGCCUCAAGCACAUGGGAAGGGGUGCCCCCCGAGAACACACUAAUUAGUCCAGUGCAGUGCAAGUCUAUAUGGAGAACAUUUACUGCAGAAACAGAAUAUGUGGUUACACAAGCUAUAUCUGCACGGGAGGCAUACAAGCGCAGCAAUAAUUGGCUACCUCCUGCUUGGGCUAUCAUGGCAAUGGUUGUGCUUGGAUUUAAUGAGUUCAUGUUUCUUUUGAGGAAUCCUCUUUACAUGCUGGCCCUGUUUGUUAUAUAUUUAUUUGGGAGAGCCAUAUGGGAACAGAUGGACAUUCCUGGGGAGUUUCGAAAUGGCACCAAGGUAGAAUAAAGGAAGACACAUAGAGCUGGCUAAUUGGGGUCUGUGAGAAAGAUACCUGCUUCCAUUCUCCCUGUCCUACUCUGAUCCUAUAUGAGAUAAAUUUAUGCUGAUCGAAUUCUUUCGGAAAAUUCAGCUGGCUGGACUAAUUUCCGUCGCUUCAAGGUUCUUUCCUACAGUUAUGAUUCUUCUGAGGCAACUUGCUGCCAAAGCUCAAGGGCACCCAGAUCAUGAACCAGCCACACACACUCAAACUCUAGCUUCUCAGAGUUUCAGAAGUCAGACACCAACACGCACCACAACAUCUAGCUCAACUAUGGAUUCAUCUGUUUCUUCCAACGAUUCAAGUGAAACUGGUGGUGAGUACUCGAGUCCUCAGCUAACUCGCAGAAGAGUAACAAAUGUGGAACACGAGGAGUUUUCUUGAUCCAAAAGUUCGUAUUCUGACACAUCUAUGUAUAAUUUGUUAUGUUUAUAGAAUAAAUGCUUCCAGUUUCCUGUGUUUUUCCAUUUUUGUUUUGGGGCUCAGUUCUUUGACGUUUUCACCAUUUGAAAUCGGGAGAAAUUGUAUGGUGGGUUAGAGCGAUGCAUGCAAAUGGUGGAAUACAUGUACUUAGACGUUCCAACUAUAAGCAUCUGCGAACAACAACGAGGUAAAAAGGAAAUUUGGUUCUCAUUUUUGUUUGGAUAA